CAGUAGCCGCGGUAAUACGGAGGGUGCAAGCGUUAAUCGGAAUUACUGGGCGUAAAGCGCACGUAGGCGGUCUGACAAGUCAGAUGUGAAAUCCCCGGGCUUAACCUGGGAACUGCAUUUGAAACUGUCAGGCUGGAGUCUUGUAGAGGGGGGUAGAAUUCCAGGUGUAGCGGUGAAAUGCGUAGAGAUCUGGAGGAAUACCGGUGGCGAAGGCGGCCCCCUGGACAAAGACUGACGCUCAGGUGCGAAAGCGUGGGGAGCAAACAGGAUUAGAUACCCGUGUAGUCCCUGUCUCUUAUAC
Molecule: ribosomal RNA, 301 nt
Filed under: uncultured bacterium
Lineage: Bacteria
Description: partial 16S ribosomal RNA
Rfam family: Bacterial small subunit ribosomal RNA
Source: RNAcentral